GGUGGGGUGUACAAGAGUCCAGAGUUGUCGAAACAGUUUUCGAAGGGUAAUAGGACAGCAGUUUAUGGUCUAAGGAGGAGUGAAGCCAAGGACGGAUUUAAACCAAAGGAUGUUAGAGAUCCAAUUGUGGAGUGGGGCUGGGAACUACAACUCGUGACGUGCCUCUGGAGUUGCUGCACAAUGGCGAACCGGAAGCGGGCGCCCCAGGCUAUGUGAAAAGAGAAAAAUGAAAAAACGGCAUGAAAACCUGGAUCAUGUGGUCGGAAACAGAGCACCAUAAUCCAAAGGGAGAGGGGACAGGGAGAGGUCCCAGUUAAGAAGAAAGAGGAGCAGAGAAAAACACUCCAAGCAUAAAAAGGGCUGCAGUUGGCAGAAUUUAAGCAGUGAGGGCACAAGAGAGUCCCUUGUUAGGAAAAAUAGAUAGUUUAAGUCAAUUAUUUUGGCAUUUGAGGGUGUUAGGAAUGAGUUUUGCUGUUCAAGUUUAAAUUUGAUUUGUAUUUCUGCAUUUGUGUGUUAAGAAAAGGUCAAGUUGCGUUUUUGUUUCAUUUUAAAAGGUACAUGCAUUCUAAUGAGUUUUCCAACUGUAAGGGGAGUUGCGCAAACACAAGAGUAGAAAAACAUGGGCUGUUGCCUAGCAACGGGGCCCAAAGAAGCAGGACCCUCCCACAGAUACACACACAAGAAACUAGAAACAGCAAUUUGAUUUGGAAGCUGUUUGAGUUCAGUCAAUUUUGAAGACAGCUGUCAAGCAGAAACAACCUAGAAGGAGCAAAUAGCCAGUACCAAGCUAAAGUUGGUUGGAAGUAGCUGCCAGAGAGAGACUGGAACAAAGGGACAGAUAACCAGUCUCAAGCUAGAGGACGAAAGUCCCAAAACCCAGGGGUGUGAAACAGGAGAAAGUCCCAAGCAGCCCUUCUAGUCAAAGGAAGGACAGGAACUUGGAAAAGUUCCUGGAGUUAAGAGUGAGGAGCAAAGAAAUGCUCAAAGCUUCAAGAGGUAAAGGCUUGUGAGAAACAAGAAGGUACAAAGAGACAACUGAAGUUCUGUAACUCUUUGCUAUGGGCAUAUGAAGCAGUGGUGUACUGUUGACAGCUGAAUCAGUGAGAGAGUACGUGGAGGAAAGUUUGAAUGCAUGUGGUGACCCAGGGAAGAGGAACAUUGGAAGUGGAGUUUGAAGCCCUGGAGGUGAACCCUUGAAGAAGGCUUCUGAGAGAAAGUGUUGGUUUGAGAGAAGAUUCCAAGGCGAGUUCUUGGAGAAUGGAGAUUGGAACUCUCAUGUGAAAGACGGAGUUCAGUGAGACUGAUUGGCUCAUGGUGUAACAAGAGUUUGGAGGGAGUUGAGAAGCGAUGCAUAGCAUCUGUUUGGGAUGACAUCUGUCAAUUGGUUUCAGAGUGUGGUGUGCCUUACUACAGGUUGCCAAUUGGUUUACAUGGACUGUACUUACUGUGAAUAUUAGAGUUUAAGAUAUAUUUAUAACUUGUGUUAUCCUUACAAAUCUGUGUAUGUCUGUAAAGGUAUAGUUGUGGGUGAAGGAGUAUUGUAACAUAGUUUACAUUUUCUUGUUUAGUAAAUGUUUUAUGCUUUUGUUAAAAGUU
Long non-coding RNA from Carcharodon carcharias (great white shark), 1596 nucleotides. RefSeq lists it as uncharacterized. The record is from RefSeq and is a predicted model, not a curated record. The transcript has 2 exons. Lineage: Eukaryota; Metazoa; Chordata; Chondrichthyes; Lamniformes; Lamnidae.